AAGCGGGCGAACGAAUGACGUGAGUGGGUUUCACUCCCCAGCCAGCCCGUUAAAAGGCCAGUGGAGUCGCGCUCGAAGGGCCCUACUUUGCGGCGCGGAGGAGCAUCGUGAUGGCGAUUUGUAGUCCGACGAUCGUUGAGCCGGCCUCCGAUUGGCUGGUUCGUACCUGCAAUGCGUCACUCGAGCUCGCAGCCGCCGCCGGGACGCGGUGCGGCUUCUGCCGUUGCUGGUCUGGCCGCGCUGUCCUGGCAACUGCGCCAGGCGGCAGAGUCGCUUCCCUUGCGCUUGGCUGGAGAACCUUCCUCCUCCACCCAUCCUUCUCUCCCACACUCACACACACACUUUCCCGCCCCUUGUGCAGGGGUAGGCGAAAACACCUUAGGCAGAUAAUGACGCUGAAAGACCCCAGGAAACCUGUACCCCGCGCUCAGCUUCUCGGCCUCGUGGAGGUCACACGUUUUCCAUUUUACUCCUUCACGAAACCAAUAAAAAUCUAGGUAUGUACCCAGAAGAACUGAAAGUAAGAUCUUGAAGAGCUAUUGGUAUGCCCAUAUUCAAGGCAGCGUUAUUCGCUAUAGCUAAAACUUGGAAGCAACACAAGAAUGGAUAAGCAAAAUGUGGUAUAUACAUACAAUGGAAUGUUAUUCAGCCUUGAAAAGGAAGAAAAUUCUACAACAUGCCACCACAUGAAUGAACCUUGCGGACAUUAUGUGAAUCAGCUCUGAGUUUUCCUCUGCAUAACCAAAAAGCCCAGUGUUUUUCCCAAAACAAAAAACGGUCUUUUCUGCAGCCUCCGGAGCUCUUCCAAAUUGUCACCUAGGAUGAAUAUGACAGCAAACAAUGCUUUAAAAGAGCCAGCUCUGUGGUUCCCGGCUCUCCCCAGCCAAACUGUGCUUACGUUUCAUAGGGUCACUGACCUUUCUUUCCUUGCUGCUCCAACAACUGCUAUCUUUGCAGCUCUUCUUCCAUCUGCUGCCUUGUUUUUUGUUCCAUGGCCAUUGUGGUUGAGUACGUCCUUUGUCUGAGCUGGGACAGACAACUCCUGGCUGAGAAGCAUCCCGGAAGGCUCAGAGCCGUCCCUCUGUGCAGUAUGCAACCACUCAACACCAUCUGGGGGACCCACUAGCCAAGAUGCUCUGAGGUGGGGCACUCAGGGUUGCCAGCCUUAUCAGUGAAAUAUGGAAAGACAGAAAUAAAGAAGCAAUUUCAAGA
Molecule: long non-coding RNA, 1212 nt
Organism: Felis catus (domestic cat)
Lineage: Eukaryota; Metazoa; Chordata; Mammalia; Carnivora; Felidae
Exons: 5
Source: RefSeq, a predicted model, not a curated record